Molecule: non-coding RNA, 363 nt
Organism: Myotis brandtii (Brandt's bat)
Lineage: Eukaryota; Metazoa; Chordata; Mammalia; Chiroptera; Vespertilionidae
Source: the annotation of a RefSeq genome assembly
AUGGACUUGGUGCCAAGCUGCGUUUUCCUCCUGAUCAUUUUUCAAGGUGUCCAGUGUGAGGUGCAGCUGGUGGAGUCUGGGGGAGGCUUGGUGCUGCCUGGGGGGUCUCUGAGACUUUCCUGUGCAGCCUCUGGGUUCACCUUCAGUAUCCACUGGAUGGGCUGGUUCCGCCAGGCUCCAGGGAAGGAGCUGGAGUGGCUUGGUGAAAUUACUCCUGAUGGAAGUACCACACACUAUGCCAACUCUGUGAAGGGCCGAUUCACCAUCUCCAGGGACAAUGCCAAGAACAUGCUGUACCUGCAAAUGAACAGCCUCAGAGCCACGGACACUGACCAUUAUUACUGUGCUAGACACACAGAUCAC